AUUGAACGCUGGCGGCAUGCCUUACACAUGCAAGUCGAACGGUAACGCGGGGCAACCUGGCGACGAGUGGCGAACGGGUGAGUAAUGCAUCGGAACGUGCCCAGUAGUGGGGGAUAGCCCGGCGAAAGCCGGAUUAAUACCGCAUACGACCUAAGGGUGAAAGGGGGGGAUCGCAAGACCUCUCGCUAUUGGAGCGGCCGAUGUCAGAUUAGGUAGUUGGUGGGGUGAAGGCCUACCAAGCCGACGAUCUGUAGCUGGUCUGAGAGGACGACCAGCCACACUGGGACUGAGACACGGCCCAGACUCCUACGGGAGGCAGCAGUGGGGAAUUUUGGACAAUGGACGCAAGUCUGAUCCAGCCAUGCCGCGUGCGGGAAGAAGGCCUUCGGGUUGUAAACCGCUUUUGUCAGGGAAGAAAUCUUCUGGGUUAAUACCUCGGGAGGAUGACGGUACCUGAAGAAUAAGCACCGGCUAACUACGUGCCAGCAGCCGCCGUAA
RNAcentral lists this ribosomal RNA (498 nucleotides) under uncultured bacterium. RNAcentral describes it as "partial 16S ribosomal RNA". It matches the Rfam family "Bacterial small subunit ribosomal RNA", at positions 29 to 523 of the family's 1533-position model. The record is from RNAcentral.